RNAcentral lists this ribosomal RNA (235 nucleotides) under uncultured bacterium. RNAcentral's name for it is "partial 16S ribosomal RNA". It matches the Rfam family "Bacterial small subunit ribosomal RNA", at positions 334 to 587 of the family's 1533-position model. The record is from RNAcentral.
UUUACCUAGGGGGGCAGCAGUGGGGAAUAUUGCACAAUGGGGGAAACCCUGAUGCAGCGACGCCGCGUGAGUGAAGAAGUAUUUCGGUAUGUAAAGCUCUGUCAGCAGGGAAGAAAAUGACGGUACCUGACCAAGAAGCCCCGGCUAACUACGUGCCAGCAGCCGCGGUAAUACGUAGGGGGCAAGCGUUAUCCGGAUUUACUGGGUGUAAAGGGAGCGUAGACGGCAGGGCAAG